UGAGGAAUAUUGGUCAAUGGGUGAGAGCCUGAACCAGCCAAGUAGCGUGAAGGAUGACUGCCCUAUGGGUUGUAAACUUCUUUUAUAAAGGAAUAAAGUCGGGUAUGUAUACCCGUUUGCAUGUACUUUAUGAAUAAGGAUCGGCUAACUCCGUGCCAGCAGCCGCGGUAAUACGGAGGAUCCGAGCGUUAUCCGGAUUUAUUGGGUUUAAAGGGAGCGUAGAUGGAUGUUUAAGUCAGUUGUGAAAGUUUGCGGCUCAACCGUAAAAUUGCAGUUGAUACUGGAUAUCUUGAGUGCAGUUGAGGCAGGCGGAAUUCGUGGUGUAGCGGUGAAAUGCUUAGAUAUCACGAAGAACUCCGAUUGCGAAGGCAGCCUGCUAAGCUGCAACUGACAUUGAGGCUCGAAAGUGUGGGUAUCAAACAGG
This 424-nucleotide ribosomal RNA is filed under the name uncultured Bacteroides sp. RNAcentral describes it as "bacterial SSU rRNA". It matches the Rfam family "Bacterial small subunit ribosomal RNA", at positions 355 to 776 of the family's 1533-position model. The record is from RNAcentral. Lineage: Bacteria; Pseudomonadati; Bacteroidota; Bacteroidia; Bacteroidales; Bacteroidaceae.